RNAcentral lists this ribosomal RNA (460 nucleotides) under uncultured bacterium. RNAcentral describes it as "partial 16S ribosomal RNA". It matches the Rfam family "Bacterial small subunit ribosomal RNA", at positions 338 to 795 of the family's 1533-position model. The record is from RNAcentral.
CCUACGGGUGGCAGCAGUGAGGAAUAUUGGUCAAUGGACGAGAGUCUGAACCAGCCAAGUAGCGUGAAGGAUGACUGCCCUAUGGGUUGUAAACUUCUUUUAUAUGGGAAUAAAACGUUCCACGUGUGGGAUUUUGUAUGUACCAUAUGAAUAAGGAUCGGCUAACUCCGUGCCAGCAGCCGCGGUAAUACGGAGGAUCCGAGCGUUAUCCGGAUUUAUUGGGUUUAAAGGGAACGUAGGUGGAUUUUUAAGUCAGUUGUGAAAGUUUGCGGCUGAACCGUAAAAUUGCAGUUGAAACUGGCAGUCUUGAGUACAGUAGAGGUGGGCGGAAUGCGUGGUGUAGCGGUGAAAUGCUUAGAUAUCACGAAGAACUCCGAUUGCGAAGGCAGUUCACUGGACUGCAACUGACACUGAGGCUCGAAAGUGUGGGUAUCAAACAGGAUUAGAUACCCCUGUAGUC